UGAUCCAGCCAUGCCGCGUGUGUGAAGAAGGCCCUCGGGUUGUAAAGCACUUUCAGCGAGGAAGAACGCCUGUCGGUUAAUACCCGGUAGGAAAGACAUCACUCGCAGAAGAAGCACCGGCUAACUCCGUGCCAGCAGCCGCGGUAAUACGGAGGGUGCAAGCGUUAAUCGGAAUUACUGGGCGUAAAGCGCGCGUAGGUGGCUUGAUAAGCCGGUUGUGAAAGCCCCGGGCUCAACCUGGGAACGGCAUCCGGAACUGUCAGGCUAGAGUGCAGGAGAGGAAGGUAGAAUUCCCGGUGUAGCGGUGAAAUGCGUAGAGAUCGGGAGGAAUACCAGUGGCGAAGGCGGCCUUCUGGACUGACACUGACACUGAGGUGCGAAAGCGUGGGUAGCAAACAGGAUUAGAUACCCUGGUAGUCCACGCCGUAAACGAUGUCGACCAGCCGUUGGGUGCCUAGCGCACUUUGUGGCGAAGUUAACGCGAUAAGUCGACCGCCUGGGGAGUACGGCCGCAAGGUUAAAACUCAA
Molecule: ribosomal RNA, 528 nt
Filed under: Vreelandella sulfidaeris
Lineage: Bacteria; Pseudomonadati; Pseudomonadota; Gammaproteobacteria; Oceanospirillales; Halomonadaceae
Description: bacterial SSU rRNA
Rfam family: Bacterial small subunit ribosomal RNA
Source: RNAcentral